RNAcentral lists this ribosomal RNA (332 nucleotides) under uncultured eukaryote. RNAcentral describes it as "partial 18S ribosomal RNA". It matches the Rfam family "Eukaryotic small subunit ribosomal RNA", at positions 1470 to 1796 of the family's 1831-position model. The record is from RNAcentral.
CCCUUAGAUGUUCUGGGCCGCACGCGCGCUACAAUGAUUGUCUCAGCAUGUUUUGGGUGUGUAAAUACCCAGGAAUCCCGAGUAACAAUCGUGAUGGGGCUAGACCCUUGCAAUUUUUGGUCUCCAACGAGGAAUUCCUAGUAAAGGCAGGUCAUUAACCUGCCUUGAUUACGUCCCUGCCCUUUGUACACACCGCCCGUCGCACCUACCGAUUGGAUGGUUUAGUGAGACCCUCGGAUCGGUCCCGACUCGGGGUGGGCUUCUGCCCCGGUCGUGGUUUCGCCGAGAAGACGGUCAAACUUGACUAUCUAGAGGAAGUAAAAGUCGUAACA